This 559-nucleotide ribosomal RNA is filed under the name uncultured bacterium. Its description in RNAcentral is "bacterial SSU rRNA". It matches the Rfam family "Bacterial small subunit ribosomal RNA", at positions 119 to 674 of the family's 1533-position model. The record is from RNAcentral.
CGGAAUCUGCCUAUUUGUGGGGGAUAACGUAGGGAAACUUACGCUAAUACCGCAUACGACCUACGGGUGAAAGCGGAGGACCUUCGGGCUUCGCGCAGAUAGAUGAGCCGAUGUCGGAUUAGCUAGUUGGCGGGGUAAUGGCCCACCAAGGCGACGAUCCGUAGCUGGUCUGAGAGGAUGAUCAGCCACACUGGAACUGAGACACGGUCCAGACUCCUACGGGAGGCAGCAGUGGGGAAUAUUGGACAAUGGGCGCAAGCCUGAUCCAGCCAUGCCGCGUGGGUGAAGAAGGCCUUCGGGUUGUAAAGCCCUUUUGUUGGGAAAGAAAAGCAGUCGGUUAAUACCCGAUUGUUCUGACGGUACCCAAAGAAUAAGCACCGGCUAACUUCGUGCCAGCAGCCGCGGUAAUACGAAGGGUGCAAGCGUUACUCGGAAUUACUGGGCGUAAAGCGUGCGUAGGUGGUUUGUUAAGUCUGAUGUGAAAGCCCUGGGCUCAACCUGGGAAUUGCAUUGGAUACUGGCAGGCUAGAGUGCGGUAGAGGGUAGUGGAAUUCCCGGU